Long non-coding RNA from Brienomyrus brachyistius, 916 nucleotides. RefSeq lists it as uncharacterized. The record is from RefSeq and is a predicted model, not a curated record. Lineage: Eukaryota; Metazoa; Chordata; Actinopteri; Osteoglossiformes; Mormyridae. The transcript has 3 exons.
CCAACAAUGACAUUCCCUUGCUGCCAGUUAAAGAAUGGACAGGUGGUUCUGUAGAGAUACAUGGUCAUAAUGUUCCUCUCUCAGACCUCUGAGGAGCCUGGUGCUGAUGUCACCUACAGCUCCAUUGUCCUGCCAGAUCCAGAGGUGUCCUCUAGAUGUUCUUCACACCGUCCUGCUGUGACCCCAGCCAGCAAUGUGAUCUACAGCUCAGUCGCCCUGAAGCACAGAGAGUAGGGGGCAGCGACACAGAGAGGCUCCUCUACAUGUGGGGAGCUGCUGCUCUGGAUGAGAGCUGUGAGGGACACGCAGAUACUCCAGUGAUGGGGAUGGAUCAUCAGCAGAGAGGAGCAUCUUACAGUGAUGUGAGCUGUAUUUACAUGGCAUGCAGCACUGUCACAUUACAGUGUGACAGUAAGAAUCAGCCAGUGAGAAACACACAUUCAUGGCUGUUGUGCAUCUGAACUUUAACUGAGGUGCUGUUUGUCUCAAUUGUAUGUUGCUUUGCAGAAAUUACAAUUUCAUUAAAAUAGAUGUAAAGCAUUAACUUGGUGGUGUGUGAAAUGUCCCUUUUCAUUCAUAUUAAUGGAAAACAAAUAUCAUUAGCAAUUCUAGUUGAUUUGUAUAAUGUAGUUUACAGAAUAUACAGUAUUUUGAGAAAGUGUUAGUCAGUGUCUUGUGCAUUUACAGGGGAUACCGAGGUCUAAGUGCUUUGCUGCCCCCUGCUAGAGCCACUUCUCUGUUUGCUAUAGACAGUGGAAUUAAAAACUUCCCUGUUACCAUUAUAUCAUAUUUCAGUAUAAAAGCUUUAGGUUUUUUCCAGAGAAUGUUAGGCUCUUGUUUACUGAUAAAUGUAGUAUUAUUGAAAAUGCAGACCACAGACAGUGUGACUGUUAAUAAAAAUGCUUUUCAUUGCUCC